GCCAGCAGCUAGCUCUCUGAAACUCUUAUAUGGUUGCCCACUGAAGCUAAGCAGGUCUGUGCCAGGUCAGUACCUGGAUGGGGCAGUACCACAUGGGAAAGCUAGGUUGCUGCUAGAA
RNAcentral lists this ribosomal RNA (118 nucleotides) under Danio rerio (zebrafish). Lineage: Eukaryota; Metazoa; Chordata; Actinopteri; Cypriniformes; Danionidae. The record is from RNAcentral.